CCGGUAUCAGCAAACAGGCCUCGGCCUGGGCUCUAUCUUUAUGCCCUAAGUCCAUCUUUGGCGGAGAAUUUGGCAUUUUCUUAUAGAAAGUAUCGGCGGAAUAGAAGUAGUCUUUCUUCCCUUUGACUUCCGAGCUGGACGUGUGUUCAAUCCUUUCUGUUGAAUAAAGAAAGCGUGGAUUUGGGGCUUCAACUACAAAGACUAGCUAUACCUCCAAGUAAUCCUUUCAGUUGAAUAAAGAAAGCGUGGAUUUGGGGCUUCAACUACAAAGACUAGCUAUACCUGCAAGACUUGAUAUAUUGUCAAUUACUAAGAUGUGCAUCUAUCAUCUAAGAAGAAAAAAGGAAAAUCAUCUGGGAGUUUUAAGAUGGCGCAAGCUGAAACAGGGGUAGAUAACCAGGAAUCUGCCCCUAGUAAAUCU
RNAcentral lists this long non-coding RNA (421 nucleotides) under Nicotiana benthamiana. Its description in RNAcentral is "long non-coding RNA (NBEN_LNC038996)". Lineage: Eukaryota; Viridiplantae; Streptophyta; Magnoliopsida; Solanales; Solanaceae. The record is from RNAcentral.